This 253-nucleotide ribosomal RNA is filed under the name uncultured bacterium. Its description in RNAcentral is "partial 16S ribosomal RNA". It matches the Rfam family "Bacterial small subunit ribosomal RNA", at positions 524 to 776 of the family's 1533-position model. The record is from RNAcentral.
UACGGAAGGGGCGAGCGUUGUCCGGAUUUAUUGGGCGUAAAGAGCGUGUAGGCGGCCAGGUAGGUCCGUUGUGAAAACUAGAGGCUUAACCUCUAGACGUCGAUGGAAACCAUCUGGCUAGAGUCCGGAAGAGGAGAGUGGAAUUCCUGGUGUAGCGGUGAAAUGCGCAGAUAUCAGGAAGAACACCCGUGGCGAAGGCGGCUCUCUGGGACGGUACUGACGCUGAGACGCGAAAGCGUGGGGAGCGAACAGG